RNAcentral lists this ribosomal RNA (494 nucleotides) under uncultured bacterium. Its description in RNAcentral is "bacterial SSU rRNA". It matches the Rfam family "Bacterial small subunit ribosomal RNA", at positions 30 to 517 of the family's 1533-position model. The record is from RNAcentral.
AUUGAACGCUGGCGGCAUGCUUUACACAUGCAAGUCGAACGGCAGCACGGGGCAACCUGGUGGCGAGUGGCGAACGGGUGAGUAAUACAUCGGAACGUGCCCAAUCGUGGGGGAUAACGUAGCGAAAGUUACGCUAAUACCGCAUACGAUCUACGGAUGAAAGCGGGGGAUCGCAAGACCUCGCGCGAAUGGAGCGGCCGAUGUCAGAUUAGGUAGUUGGUGGGGUAAAGGCUCACCAAGCCAACGAUCUGUAGCUGGUCUGAGAGGACGACCAGCCACACUGGAACUGAGACACGGUCCAGACUCCUACGGGAGGCAGCAGUGGGGAAUUUUGGACAAUGGGCGCAAGCCUGAUCCAGCAAUGCCGCGUGCAGGAUGAAGGCCUUCGGGUUGUAAACUGCUUUUGUACGGUAACGAAAAGCUUCGGGCUAAUACCCUGAAGUCAUGACGGUACCGUAAGAAUAAGCACCGGCUAACUACGUGCCAGCAGACCG